AGCGCGGGGUGGAGGGGACGGCGGAGGCUCCCGGCUAUGGGAGGAGCGGCGGCGCGGGGUACCGGAAGUUGCCGUACCCCCGAGGCCUGGGCAGGUUGGCAGGGAGGAGGCCUACUCCUCGUAUCUUGCCAAGGCGUCAGCCAUGCCCUCCUCGUCCUCGCACAUCGGGGUUGCUGGUGCUUCUGCGUUAGCCUGCCCUCUCGGCGUUGGUCGAUGCCAGCGUGGGGAGGAGCGACGGCUACGGCGUUGGACAUGACCAGCGAGGGGAGGAGCGGUAGCGACGAUUUUUGGGUUUAGGCUACCAUAUCCUGUAAGAUCAUAUCACCAUCAAAAUGCAUUCAUAUUCAACAGUUUGAGCUAUGUGAAAUUCCUCCCUGAUCAGCAUGAUACGGCAGAAGUUGUGCCAAUUAUGAGAUGAUCUUCUUAUGAGGUUGAUUACAAACAUCACUCUACUAAUUUUAUGACUCCUAAAAUUGUGAAAAAAUCUUUUAGUUUCACUCAAGCUCUCUUCCACGGUUUAAGUAUGUCCUCUCUAAUGCCUUGAGCUUUGGCAGGGAAUGGAGAUCCUUUUAAGGUUCAGAUUGUUGGACAUUCCUCUGUGAAAUCUGUUAUGCGAAUGGAUCUGAAUGGAAUGGUCUUGAGCUUAGCGAGCGCCUAGAUGUCGAUGUAUGACCAAGGGAAGGAAGGCAGAAGAACAGGGGUAAGAAGAGAGCGAGAAGAGGAAAAGAGACAUUGUGCCUAACUGACGUGAUGUGCCGAGGCCGGAGCGGUGGCACACGGUUGAAAGUCGAGAAACAUGUGUGUACAUGCUUGUGGUAGAAAUUCCGAAUUGUACCACAUCAAGCCUGGGUGUGUAUCACCGGAAGGAUUGGUCCUCCUCUUAAAUCAAGAGGAUGUAGAUGAAAUGGUGAGAGCCCAUCAAGAUACAAAAAAGUGUGAUUUGUACAUUGUGGCAAAUCAUCAUUUUCGAGGUGAUGGUUACGAUGAGAGUGACGAGGAUGGUGAUGAUGGGUCGAAUGAUGAAGCCCCUUUUGGUGCCUACCUCGAUGUUGGUCAGAGUGGAAAGGACGAAGAUAGAUCAUCGCCAUGAACAAAUAUUAUGUGUGCUUUUCAUGUAAAAUGAUGAAACUCCUUUUGGGUUGAAUUAUAGUGUGCUUACCAUUAACGAAUACCGGUUGUCGUUGA
This is a long non-coding RNA of Lolium rigidum, 1185 nucleotides long. RefSeq lists it as uncharacterized. The transcript has 4 exons. The record is from RefSeq and is a predicted model, not a curated record. Lineage: Eukaryota; Viridiplantae; Streptophyta; Magnoliopsida; Poales; Poaceae.